UGGUGUAGCGGUGAGCACUUCGGACUCUGAAUCCGGCAACCUGAGUUCGAAUCUCGG
This is a non-coding RNA of Schistosoma mansoni, 57 nucleotides long. NCBI's taxonomy places the organism in Eukaryota, Metazoa, Platyhelminthes, Trematoda, Strigeidida, Schistosomatidae. The record is from Rfam.